UCAGGAUGAACGCUGGCGGCGUGCCUAACACAUGCAAGUCGAACGAAGCACUGCGGAUGGAGAUUCGUCAAAAUCUGCUUUGACUUAGUGGCGGACGGGUGAGUAAUGUGUGAGCAACCUGCCUUUCAGAGGGGGACAACAGUUGGAAGCGACUGCUAAUACCGCAUAAUGUAUUGGAAGGGCAUCCUUUUGAUACCAAAGGAGCAAUCCGCUGAAAGAUGGGCUCACAUCUGAUUAGCUAGUUGGUGGGGUAACGGCCUACCAAGGCUGCGAUCAGUAGCCGGACUGAGAGGUUGAACGGCCACAUUGGGACUGAGAUACGGCCCAGACUCCUACGGGAGGCAGCAGUGGGGAAUAUUGGGCAAUGGGCGAAAGCCUGACCCAGCAACGCCGCGUGAAGGAAGAAGGUCUUCGGAUUGUAAACUUCUUUUAUGAGGGACGAAGGACGUGACGGUACCUCAUGAAUAAGCCACGGCUAACUACGUGCCAGCAGCUGC
This 497-nucleotide ribosomal RNA is filed under the name uncultured bacterium. RNAcentral describes it as "bacterial SSU rRNA". It matches the Rfam family "Bacterial small subunit ribosomal RNA", at positions 24 to 518 of the family's 1533-position model. The record is from RNAcentral.